Shewanella benthica KT99 is the source of this 1045-nucleotide non-coding RNA. NCBI's taxonomy places the organism in Bacteria, Pseudomonadati, Pseudomonadota, Gammaproteobacteria, Alteromonadales, Shewanellaceae. The record is from Rfam.
GUUGCAGGUGUAGACCCGAAACCCGGUGAUCUAUCCAUGGGCAGGUUGAAGGUUGAGUAACAUCAACUGGAGGACCGAACCGACUUAUGUUGAAAAAUGAGCGGAUGACUUGUGGAUGGGGGUGAAAGGCCAAUCAAACCGGGAGAUAUCUGGUUCUCCUCGAAAGCUAUUUAGGUAGCGCCUCGAGCGAAUACCAUUGGGGGUAGAGCACUGUUAAGGCUAGGGGGUCAUCCCGACUUACCAACCCUUUGCAAACUCCGAAUACCAAUGAGUACUACUCGGGAGACACACGGCGGGUGCUAACGUCCGUCGUGGAAAGGGAAACAACCCAGACCAUCAGCUAAGGUCCCAAAGUUAUUGCUAAGUGGGAAACGAUGUGGGAAGGCUUAGACAGCUAGGAUGUUGGCUUAGAAGCAGCCAUCAUUUAAAGAAAGCGUAAUAGCUCACUAGUCGAGUCGGCCUGCGCGGAAGAUUUAACGGGGCUAAGCAAUACACCGAAGCUAUGGGUUUGCUAGUUUACUGGCAAGCGGUAGAGGAGCGUUCUGUAAGCCGUUGAAGGCGAAGGGGUAACCCACGCUGGAGGUAUCAGAAGUGCGAAUGCUGACAUGAGUAACGAUAAAGGGAGUGAAAAACUCCCUCGCCGAAAGACCAAGGUUUCCUGUCCAAUGUUAAUCAGGGCAGGGUAAGUCGACCCCUAAGGUGAGGCCGAAAGGCGUAAUCGAUGGGAAACAGGUUAAUAUUCCUGUACUUCUGCUAACUGCGAUGGAGAGACGGAGAAGGCUAGGCUAGCGCGGCGUUGGUUGUCCGCGUUUAAGGUUGUAGGUUGUAUUCUUAGGCAAAUCCGGGGAUACGCAUUAAAUUGCAAGACUGAGGACUGAUGACGAGACCCUAAGGGGUUGAAGUAGUUGAUGCCAUGCUUCCAGGAAAAUCUUCUAAGCUUCAGGUUAGUAGGAAUCGUACCCCAAACCGACACAGGUGGUUGGGUAGAGAAUACCAAGGCGCUUGAGAGACUCGGCUAAGAACUAGGCAAAUGGUACCGUACUUC